AUCCAGAGACCAGGUUCACAUCCAGAGUCCAGGUUCACAUCCAGAGACCAGGUUCACAUCCAGAGACCAGGUUUACAUCCAGAGUCCAGGUUCACAUCCAGGUUCACAUCCAGAGACCAGGUUCACAUCCAGAGUCCAGGUUCACAUCCAGAGACCAGGUUUACAUCCAGGUUCACAUCCAGAGACCAGGUUCACAUCCAGAGACCAGGUUCACAUCCAGAGACCAGGUUCACAUCCAGAGACCAGGUUACAUCCAGAGUCCAGGUUCACAUCCAGGUUCACAUCCAGAGACCAGGUUCACAUCCAGAGUCCAGGUUCACAUCCAGAGUCCAGGUUCACAUCCAGAGUCCAGGUUCA
This is a long non-coding RNA of Lates calcarifer (barramundi perch), 357 nucleotides long. RefSeq lists it as uncharacterized. The record is from RefSeq and is a predicted model, not a curated record. The transcript has 4 exons. NCBI's taxonomy places the organism in Eukaryota, Metazoa, Chordata, Actinopteri, Centropomidae.